Molecule: long non-coding RNA, 1849 nt
Organism: Halichondria panicea
Lineage: Eukaryota; Metazoa; Porifera; Demospongiae; Suberitida; Halichondriidae
Exons: 6
Source: RefSeq, a predicted model, not a curated record
UAUUAUAUACAGUAACUGUAAACUAUAAACUAUGCCGACUAGGGAUCGGUGGAUGUUAAUGUUUGACUCCAUCGGCACCUUAUGAGAAAUCAAAGUCAAAAUUAUAGUAAGCCCCAGCUCACUGCCUUCUUUGAGCAUGUACAAUCAUCAAAAAACGAAAUCUGAAAUGCAAGUUUAACGAAGGUGUCCCUAUACCUACAUAUAGAAGUACACGUUGAACCUGACAAUACGUAGCACGGGAUGCUGUGUACGAUGCCCUCAUAAGGAAUGACAUUACAUUCAAGUGGGUCAAAUGUGUCAGUGAAUAUACCGAAUGGACCCAGAGUUUUUUUGCUAAUAAUAUUGGAUCAAUUUAAUGUUGAAGUACACACAUUAACGCGGAUGACGCAAAUUUGCGUAAUUACGGAAUAAGCUGGUAGCGACGCAACUAUUAGCAGCCUCAUAAGGAUUCACUCGAUUGUCAUAGAGACACCGAUCACUACAGGACAACAAUGACUAAGAGGCUCUUGUAUACUAGAGAGGAGGUACUGGAGGAUCUCCUGGAUAGCAGUGACCAUGGUCCUUAGACUUAGAGGACUGUGAUGACCCUAUGGCAGCGAUGGGCGAUUUCAUGGACCUGUAUGAAGAAGAAGACCAGCGUGAAGACCAGCAUGAAUACCUCCCCAAUCAAGUUGAAGACUCUCGCGAGUAUGUUGAAAAUUAAUAAUGUCCUUAAUUAUUAAUUUUACACAGGCACACUUCAACUUCACGUCCACCACUCUCACCCCCAGACAUCACCCUUCUCACCCCUAGUUCUCUCACAUCCCCUCUCACCACCAGACAUCAACUGCUCACAUCCAGCCUCUCACCCCCAGACAUCACCCUCUGCUUUUCACCAGAUUUUGAACCCCCACUACCCCCACUUCCUCCAACAGCUUUGGGACAAAAAGAGGCAGAGGCAGAGCAAGGGUGUAGAGGCAGGAGGGGAAGAGGCAGAGCUAGAGCUAUUACUACUUCUACAGGUUCCCCAGUUCCCCCUUUCAUGACCAUUCACGAGAGGCCCAGCUGUAUCCAUCUCAAGUUCUCCCACUGAAAUAAUGGUAGCCGAGACAAAUCGAUACGCUAGGCCACAUGAUAAAAGGACCCCACUCACGACUGCUGAGCUAAAGGGAUUCUGCAUUUUCAUGGGGAUCGUGAAACUCCCAUCAAUUGAAAAUUAUUGGAGGAGAGACGUGCAAUUCCACUACUCACCAAUUGCAUCGAAGAUCUCACGCGAUCACUUUAGGGACAUCCGACGAUACCUCCAUUUCACGGACAACACCACUCUCCCGACUCCAGGCACCCCAGGUAGCGAUCGUUUGGCCAAAGUACGCCCCUUCAAUAAGCGCUGUUCUGCUGCAUACAACUUAGGCCGUGAAGUUGCAGUAGACGAGGCAAUGAUAAAGUUUCAGGGUAGAUCUGCACUCAAACAGUACCUCCCAAAUAAACCAGUGAAUAAACCAGUGAAGAGACAGCUCCAAUGGGUACUUCCACAUGCUACAAGUGUAUACAGGGAGAGAAGCCACACCAGAGAAGCACGAGUUGCCUCACAGCCUCGUUGAAGCACAAGCACCACCACGUCUAUUUCGACAACUUUUUCACGUCUGUCAAACUGUUGGAAGACUUGGAGAAGGAUGGCAUUUAUGCUUGUGGUACAGCUCGCGCUGACCGCAUAGGCGGCUGACAGAAAGAAAGACAAGGUGACAAGGUGACGGUCUCAGCUUGGAAGGACAAUAGGGUUGUCCGUGUGAUCUCCACAGCCUCUGACGCCACUUCGGUCACCUCUGUACAACGUACAGUCAAGGACUAUAAUCGCUGGUGUCGACAGAGG